This is an RNA transcript of Musa acuminata AAA Group (dessert banana), 3144 nucleotides long. RefSeq lists it as uncharacterized. Lineage: Eukaryota; Viridiplantae; Streptophyta; Magnoliopsida; Zingiberales; Musaceae. The record is from RefSeq and is a predicted model, not a curated record. The transcript is spliced from 11 exons.
UACAGGGAAAAAGAAGAGGUUCGUGCAAGAGCCUCGAGACUGCCCCCUCUCGUUCGGUGGAUUCUCCGCGUGGGGUUCUCGCCUUCGCCCAACCCGCCCUAAAGGUUUCGGUGAGCUCUUCCCUGAUCUCGGGAGUCCGAUUGGAUCGUGGGCUCAAUUUGGAUUUUGUUUUGACUUUGGAGAGGAAUGAUGGAUUUCUGCGUCUCCGAUCGAUUGUUUCAUGCAAUACGAGAGUGGGGGAAAUAGUCCUGGUUUUGUGGAGGUCUUUGGGGUUCUUAGAGCAGAGGAGUGAAGGGGAUAACUUAAAGAAUUUUUCUUUAGUCGGUAUCUGGGUAAAGGAGGGUGAAUGAUGAAGAAGAAUAAGUUGAACAAGGAGGAGAUAGCGGAGGACUACUGCUUCACAUGCAAGGAUGGAGGGCACCUGCGGGUCUGCGAUUUCAAGAAUUGUCUUAAAGCUUACCAUCCUCAAUGUGUGGGUAAGGAUCCCUCAUUCAUGGAGAGUGAUGAACGUUGGACCUGUGGUUGGCAUUCUUGCUUUAUCUGCCAAAAGGCAUCAGCUCUCCAAUGUUACUGCUGCCCGAACUCUGUGUGCUACUCAUGCAUAAAGGAAGCUGAGUUUGUGCAAGUCAAGAAAAGAACAAAGGGCUUCUGCAACAAUUGCUUAAAGCUAGCAAUUUUAAUAGAAGAGAAUAUAGAUGUUGAUUCAGAUGGGGGAAAGGUGGACUUCAGAGAUACUGAGACAUAUGAGUUUUUGUUCAAGGAUUAUUGGGAAAUAAUAAAGGAUCAGGAAGGACUGACAUUGAUUGAUCUUCAGGCAGCGAAUGCUCUUCUUAAAAGAGGUGAAAAUUACAAGGGUGGAUCAGAUUCUGACAAACUUGAGGAAGAGGAUGUCGAAUCUGAAGGUGAUGAUUUGGAAAUUAAUUCUGACGAUGGGUUGUCAUUUCUUGAGGAUUUGAAAGGGAGAUGUGGUAGAAUGAAGAAACCAAUUAAGAGGUCCAGGUCAAAGAAAAAAGUGUUUAUUAGUUGGGGUUCAGUGGAGCUGAUAAACUUCCUUAUAUCUGUUGGUAGAGACACAAAUGAACCACUUACACUGUUGGAUGCAUGUGAAAUAAUAAAGGACUACAUUGAUAGAAACAACCUUCAUGAUCCAGAUAAUAAAAAGAAAAAAAAUGUAAUAUGUGAUGAGAGACUGUAUGCUUUAUUCAGAAAAAGGAAAGUGAAGUUUCAUAAGAUAGAGAGUUUGUUGGAGAGUCACUUUGCCACAAAUGAUGAUUCAGAUGAAGAAAUUUCUUUUAGCUCAGAAGAUGGUGACACAUUUGGAAGACGAAAGAAGCAAAACACAGGAUAUGAUGAACAUAAAUUACAGCCAAAGGAAUAUAAGGAAGAUAUUUCUGCAGCACCUAAAAGUUGUUAUGCUUCCAUAGUUAGGAAAAACAUAAAUUCGGUGUACUUGAAGAGAUCUUUAAUUAUGGAAUUUCUUAAAAGUCCUGAUACUUUUGAAGAAAAAGUUACUGGCUGCUUUGUGAGGGUGAAGGUAGAUCCUGAAGAUUUCUACUUUGUUCCUGAAAAGAGGUACAAGCUAGGGCAGGUCACAGGUGUUAAGAAGGCUCUACAGACAUACAAGGUAGGCACAAUGUCCACAGAUGUGGUUCUACGUGUUUCCAAUUAUCAUGCGGAUGUUCAAUUAUUUUUUCUAUCCGAUGAUGACUUUGAUGAGGAUGAGUGUGAAGAUCUUCUCCAGUUGGCCAAUAAAGGCCUUUUCAAAAGACCCACUGUUGCAGAGCUUGAAAAGAAGAUCAGAAGUGUUCAUGCUGACAUAAUGAAUCAUUGGAUUGAUAAGGAAGUUUUGAAGUUACAAAAACUGAUAGAUCGAGCUAAUGAGAAAGGAUGGCGCAGAGAACUUUUUGCUUAUAUUGAUGAAAGAGAAAAGCUUCGUACAUCUGAAGAGCGAAAGCGCCUUCUUCAAGAGAUUCCAACAGUGGUUGCUGAUAUAUCUCAAACUAAGGUGAAGACUACCAAUGGUCCACCUAUUUCUUCAGAGUGCCAACUGCCAAAAGCUGCUGAUGUCAAUAAUUCUGGCAGUGGUCAUGUAAUUGAAAUCGAAGAAGACCAUGGAGUUCAAGAUUCUAAGAUAACUGUCAAUAUGCGAAUAAGCGACCACGUUGAUGAUGAAGACAAGACAUGGCAUUAUGUUGACCCUUCUGGCAAUGAACAAGGACCGUUUGACAUGGUAUCUCUAAGGUAUUGGAUGAGAGAAGGCUUUUUCGAUGAAGAUUUUAAGGUCUGGAAAACAGGCCAGUCAAGAGAAGAUGCCAUUUUGUUGACAGAUGCACUCCGUCUAUAUCAAUAGUAUCUCCAAAUUUCUCUAUGUGCAAUUUAUUAAAGGAAGGUGGAGACUCUGCUUGGCCCAAUUGUUUUAUAGAUUUCGACAUCUAUACCCAACGACAUUUGUGAAAGGCAGGUGGAGAUAGAAAGCUGCACAUGUGUUUAGACCAAUUUAUUAAAGGCACUUGUGUUUACUGAAAGAAGUAGAUUUUGCAGCUUGCAGCUGCUGUUGCUUUUGAGUCACUGCAGUAUGCAUAGGUCAUCCUUUUAGAUUGCAGUUCUUUCCAAGUCAUGAGUUAAUGGAUUAGCAGUCAGAAUUUGAAUUUAAAGAUUAAUCAGAAAAGCUCCAGUAAGAUGUGGAAGGCCAUCUGGUAGCAGAGGUGAUGAUGUUUACAAGAAUCUCACACGUGGAGUUAAGAUUUCUAACACAAAAUUUUCUCCAUUUCAAGUGUUUUCACUAGCAUAAUUUCCCAAGCGUUUCAGCACGAAAAUGAAGAUUGUCAUAAUUUUGACAGAAGAUGGAACGGUGUCUACUUUCUCAUCAUCAUUCUCUUGUUGAUUUGACUUGUGUCAAGUAAGAGCCUCUUCAUAUGAUUUUAUUGCUCAAAUAAUUUAUCUUGAUGCAUUUGGAUUUAUUUCUUCAGGCUACUGGUUAAAGAAAACAUGAUACUGCCAUAGUUUUCUUUUGGUAUUGUGCAGUAGUAAAUUUUUCUUAGUAACAGUUGAGAGACUUGAGUUCCAUCCCUGAUGUGCCAACUGCCAAUGUAGAUAAAUUGUUACCUAGGAUGAUGUAUCAGGAAAUCUUUGUUGCUACCUAAA